AACGAACGCUGGCGGCGUGGAUAAGACAUGCAAGUCGAGCGCUGAUUACAGGGUAGCAAUAUUCUGUAGUCGGAGCGGCGCAAGGGUGCGUAACACGUGGGUAAUCUGCCAUGAAGUUUGGGAUAACUCGCUGAAAGGCGAGCUAAUACCGGAUGUGAAUGUUAGGGGGCAUCUCCCGACAUUUAAAGCUGGGGACCGUAAGGCCUGGCGCUUCAUGAUGAGCCCGCGGCCUAUCAGCUAGUUGGUGAGGUAACGGCUCACCAAGGCUAAGACGGGUAGCUGGUCUGAGAGGACGACCAGCCACACUGGAACUGAGACACGGUCCAGACACCUACGGGUGGCAGCAGUCGAGAAUUUUUCACAAUGGGGGAAACCCUGAUGGAGCGACGCCGCGUGGGGGAUGAAUGGCUUCGGCCCGUAAACCCCUGUCAUUUGCGAGCAAAUGUACCAACCUAACACGUUGGUGCUUGAUAGUAGCGAAAGAGGAAGGGACGGCUAACUCUGUG
This 506-nucleotide ribosomal RNA is filed under the name uncultured bacterium. RNAcentral's name for it is "bacterial SSU rRNA". It matches the Rfam family "Bacterial small subunit ribosomal RNA", at positions 29 to 507 of the family's 1533-position model. The record is from RNAcentral.